RNAcentral lists this ribosomal RNA (1488 nucleotides) under metagenome. Its description in RNAcentral is "bacterial SSU rRNA". It matches the Rfam family "Bacterial small subunit ribosomal RNA". The record is from RNAcentral.
AGAGUUUGAUCCUGGCUCAGAUUGAACGCUGGCGGCAUGCCUUACACAUGCAAGUCGAACGGCAGCACCGGAGCAAUCCUGGUGGCGAGUGGCGAACGGGUGAGUAAUACAUCGGAACGUGCCCAGUUGUGGGGGAUAGCCCGGCGAAAGCCGGAUUAAUACCGCAUACGACCUACGGGUGAAAGCGGGGGAUCGCAAGACCUCGCGCAAUUGGAGCGGCCGAUGGCAGAUUAGCUUGUUGGUGGGGUAAAAGCCUACCAAGGCGACGAUCUGUAGCUGGUCUGAGAGGACGACCAGCCACACUGGGACUGAGACACGGCCCAGACUCCUACGGGAGGCAGCAGUGGGGAAUUUUGGACAAUGGGCGCAAGCCUGAUCCAGCCAUGCCGCGUGUGGGAAGAAGGCCUUCGGGUUGUAAACCACUUUUGUCAGGGAAGAAACGGUCUGAUCUAAUAAAUCGGACUAAUGACGGUACCUGAAGAAUAAGCACCGGCUAACUACGUGCCAGCAGCCGCGGUAAUACGUAGGGUGCAAGCGUUAAUCGGAAUUACUGGGCGUAAAGCGUGCGCAGGCGGCUAUGCAAGACAGAUGUGAAAUCCCCGGGCUCAACCUGGGAACUGCAUUUGUGACUGCAUGGCUAGAGUACGGCAGAGGGGGAUGGAAUUCCGCGUGUAGCAGUGAAAUGCGUAGAUAUGCGGAGGAACACCGAUGGCGAAGGCAAUCCCCUGGGCCUGUACUGACGCUCAUGCACGAAAGCGUGGGGAGCAAACAGGAUUAGAUACCCUGGUAGUCCACGCCCUAAACGAUGUCAACUGGUUGUUGGACGGCUUGCUGUUCAGUAACGAAGCUAACGCGUGAAGUUGACCGCCUGGGGAGUACGGCCGCAAGGUUGAAACUAAAGGAAUUGACGGGGACCCGCACAAGCGGUGGAUGAUGUGGUUUAAUUCGAUGCAACGCGAAAAACCUUACCUACCCUUGACAUGUCUAGAAGUUUCCAGAGAUGGAUUCGUGCUCGAAAGAGAACUAGAACGCAGGUGCUGCAUGGCCGUCGUCAGCUCGUGUCGUGAGAUGUUGGGUUAAGUCCCGCAACGAGCGCAACCCUUAUCAUUAGUUGCUACGCAAGGGCACUCUAAUGAGACUGCCGGUGACAAACCGGAGGAAGGUGGGGAUGACGUCAGGUCAUCAUGGCCCUUAUGGGUAGGGCUACGCACGUCAUACAAUGGCCGGUACAGAGGGCUGCCAACUCGCGAGAGGGAGCUAAUCUCAGAAAACCGGUCGUAGUCCGGAUCGCAGUCUGCAACUCGACUGCGUGAAGUCGGAAUCGCUAGUAAUCGCGGAUCAGCUUGCCGCGGUGAAUACGUUCCCGGGUCUUGUACACACCGCCCGUCACACCAUGGGAGCGGGUUCUGCCAGAAGUAGUUAGCCUAACCGCAAGGAGGGCGAUUACCACGGCAGGGUUCGUGACUGGGGUGAAGUCGUAACAAGGUA